GGCUGUGUAGCUCAACUGAAUAGAGCAUUUGACUACGAAUCAAAAGGUUUUAGGUUUGAAUCCUAACACGGUCA
This 74-nucleotide transfer RNA is filed under the name Ferruginibacter sp. RNAcentral describes it as "tRNA-Arg". It matches the Rfam family "tRNA". Rfam says of the family: Transfer RNA (tRNA) molecules are approximately 80 nucleotides in length. Their secondary structure includes four short double-helical elements and three loops (D, anti-codon, and T loops). Lineage: Bacteria; Pseudomonadati; Bacteroidota; Chitinophagia; Chitinophagales; Chitinophagaceae. The record is from RNAcentral.